This 24-nucleotide non-coding RNA is filed under the name Arabidopsis thaliana (thale cress). Lineage: Eukaryota; Viridiplantae; Streptophyta; Magnoliopsida; Brassicales; Brassicaceae. The record is from RNAcentral.
UAUUCAUGUGAUGAGUUUAUCGCU